CAUUACUGAGUGCUAAACUCCAACCCUAUGUGAACUUACCACUGUUGCCUCGGCGCUGUGCCUGCGAGAGCAGGCCCGCCGGUGGACCACUAAACUCUGUUAUACCUGCUGUAUCUCUGAAUUUAUAACUGAAAUACGUUAAAACUUUCAACAACGGAUCUCUUGGUUCUGGCAUCGAUGAAGAACGCAGCGAAAUGCGAUAAGUAAUGUGAAUUGCAGAAUUCAGUGAAUCAUCGAAUCUUUGAACGCACAUUGCGCCCAUUAGUAUUCUAGUGGGCAUGCCUAUUCGAGCGUCAUUUCAACCCUUAAGCCCCUGUUGCUUAGCGUUGGGAAUCUGCGUUACGGCGCAGUUCCUUAAAGUGAUUUGGCGGAGCUAGUGCAUACUCUAGGCGUAGUAAAAUACCAUUCUCGCUUUUGUAGUAGGCCUGGCGGCUUGCCGUAAAACCCCUAUAUUUCUAGUGGUUGACCUCGGAUUAGGUAGGAA
RNAcentral lists this ribosomal RNA (484 nucleotides) under Daldinia sp. PP33a. Its description in RNAcentral is "eukaryotic LSU rRNA". The stretch from base 143 to 296 matches the Rfam family "5.8S ribosomal RNA". The record is from RNAcentral. Lineage: Eukaryota; Fungi; Ascomycota; Sordariomycetes; Xylariales; Hypoxylaceae.